UAUCUAAGCUUGCAUUUGACAUAUUUUUACCGCUACCCGAGAAAGGGCGUUCUUUGUAGUAUCUGAUGUAUGUGCUUUGUUGUAGACUUUGCAGAACGAAACUUCCCUGCUAGCAGAGUCCAGCUGAGCAGAGUCUCUCCUUGGCGAUUCUUGGCAGAAAAAUUUCUCUCUGCCAAGAACCGUCGACGAGGGAGACAUUACAUUACGGCCGCACCAGAGGUAUAAAUACCAUCGACUGUCUCUCGUUUUCUCACUGGACUCUGAAGAUGACUUCUGCUCAGGUUGUCGAAACGUCAGUCACCAACGACAGUCUUUCUCAAGACUACACUCACCUGGACGAUCACACCUCACAAAUAACUUCAACACCUAGGUUCAAACCAUUUACUCUUGGGGGAAACUCUGCUAGCAGGGAAGUAUAAAAUGAACGGUUUGUACCAAAUCUGCUUGCGACUGAGAACUGAUGGAUGUAACUUCAAAAUUCAAAAAAGAAUGUAUAACUAAUUUUGAGAAUAAUGAUGAUGAUAUAGGUUUGAACAGGUGAAUAAAAAGCAGACUCAAAUCAUCAUCAUUAUCUAGUUCUGAUUUGAUAUACUAAAGGCCAUGUUACACGUUGAAACUUUAAGCAGAAACGUGCUUGCAACAGCGUUAUGUUGUAAGGAGCAUUGAAGUUAUCAACAGCACAAUUUUCGAAAUUGUUGCGAAACAAGUGGUAACAAUCAACGACUGCGUCUCAGUUAUUCCAAGAAAUGUUGUAGAGCAAAUUAGGACUUCUGUCAGAAAGUUUCACGAAACUGAAGUAGAACUGCUUUCUACACUAGUUCAACCGCAUUUUGCGUCGCGAAUGAAGUUUCAGGGCGAAAUUGCACCUUGAAUCACCUUUCGUGAUUGUCUCUCAACGCCGUUGCACGCAAGUUUCACUGAGCUGAAAGUUUCGACGUAUACACAUGAACACGGCCGUUAUUACCUGAAGGAAAAGGGUAGAACCACAGAAAGAACGCCAAAGAGACCACCAUUAACUUGAGUACAAAGAAAGACCUUUUAUAAAAUCGCAUUUUGAACCUUUCGAUUAUGGCUGAAUCCUGAAUUACGUGAGUUCGUAUACACCGAAUUGAAAUAUUGGCGACCAAUUUGAAUAUUCCUUGUUCUGCACUAGCUACCCUUGUGUUCACGUGGAAACAUGAAAGCGUUUUCGCAUGAAUGAGAGGCUAGCCAGUUUCAAACUAUAUAUAGUUAUUGAAAUUGGUCGCCACAUUUCGAUUCGUUGUAUGGAUCAGAAAAUGUAGACAAACGAUAAAGAACUUUGUACAGACAUCAGUAGCACUGAAAUGAGUGAGACAAAUUUUAAUUCGCCCAGCUGAAUUAGCAUCCAUACUGGUGCUUGCUUUAUGCCACAGCAGGGGCCGAAAACCCAAUGAAGCAUACACUGGACAAUAUUUAUAGGAUUCAAAAUCUGAAAAAGCACUCCAAGGGUCUGAGGAGUGUUUCUGGACUCGGCAUUACAUAGUCACGUGUAUUUUUCAAAGAUUAAGAGUCCUCACGUGCUUGUUGUAUUUCAAAUAGUUUCAAGCGUCAAAGAAGGUUAACGGAAAAAAAAACGGAAAACUAUCUCGCUACUAUGACUUCAAGAACAGUUAUAAACGAACAAAGGUAAGUUUUGUCUUCCCAUUAUUCCAAAAUAUAGUUGAUACAACUUUUACGAUUUAAAAAAGCGAUAUAUUGAUCUCUAUGAGAAUAACGCACAAACUUUGAAAUUUAGACUUUGAUCUUCCCUUCGAGAACGCCGCGCUUAUUCUUUCAAAAAUGUUGGACCGUAUAGUGUGAUCGUCCCUUCGAUAUGCCACGCUAUUAAAGUUCUAUCAAAGGUGUUGGAUCUGAUCUUCUCUUCGAGAAUGCCGUGCUAACUUAGAGUUCUUACAAAAGUGUUGGAUCGCAUAGUGAUCUUCUCUUCGAGAAUGCCGC
This 1959-nucleotide long non-coding RNA is filed under the name Actinia tenebrosa (Australian red waratah sea anemone). RNAcentral's name for it is "uncharacterized LOC116306037, transcript variant X2". Lineage: Eukaryota; Metazoa; Cnidaria; Anthozoa; Actiniaria; Actiniidae. The record is from RNAcentral.